Molecule: long non-coding RNA, 3828 nt
Filed under: Homo sapiens (human)
Lineage: Eukaryota; Metazoa; Chordata; Mammalia; Primates; Hominidae
Description: HSALNT0299040
Source: RNAcentral
UGUGAUUACAGGUGUGCGACACCGCGCCCGGCCCGCAGUGAUCUUAAUGUGCUGAUGGAUCACUUGUGACUCUCCACUGAGGAGCCACACCCCCUAUGUAGGUCCGAUGUAGGACCCACAGACCAUAUCAACAUUCAGGGCUGGGGGUUGGGGACUCAAAUAUGUUCUCCUCACUAGGCAAACCUUGAAAUUGCUGAAUUGUGCAGUGGGACAGAGUUGUCAGUUGUCUAUCUAUCUGGGACUGAGGACCUUCAGAAAAUAAAGCUUAUUUUAAGGGGAGACUCAGACUCAAUGAGCUUGACUCCGUAAGGAACCUUUACUUCAAGGAGGGAAGAAGAAUUGUUUUCGUAUUUUUUUGGUGGAGACGGGGUUUCGCUGUGUUGGCCUGGCCGGUCUCCAGCUCCUAACUGCGAGUGAUCCGCCAGCCUCGGCCUCCCGAGGUGCCGGGAUUGCAGACGGAGUCUCGUUCACUCAGUGCUCAAUGGCGCCCAGGCUGGAGUGCAGUGGCGUGAUCUCGGCUCGCUACAACCUCCACCUCCCAGCCGCCUGCCUUGGCCUCCCAAAGUGCCGAGAUUGCAGCCUCUGCCCGGCCGCCACCCCGUCUGGGAAGUGAGGAGCGUCUCUGCCUGGCCGCCCAUCGUCUGGAAUGUGAGGAGCCCCUCUGCCUGGCUGCCCAGUCAGGGAAGUGACGAGCGUCUCUGCCUGGCCGCCAUCCCAUCUAGGAAGCGAGGAGCGCCUCUUCCCGGCCGCCAUCCCAUCUAGGAAGUGAGGAGCGUCUCUGCCCGGCCGCCCAUCGUCUGAGAUGUGGGGAGCACCUCUGCCCCGCCACCCUGUCUGGGAUGUGAGGAGCGCCUCUGCCUGGCUGCCCAGUCUGGAAAGUGAGGAGCGUCUCUGCCCGGCCGCCAUCCCAUCUAGGAAGUGAGGAGCGUCUCUGCCCGGCCACCAUCCCAUCUAGGAAGUGAGGAGAGCCUCUUCCCGGCCGCCAUCCCAUCUAGGAAGUGAGGAGCGUCUCUGCCUGGCCGCCCAUCGUCUGAGAUGUGGGGAGCGCCUCUGCCCUGCUGCCCCGUCCGGGAUGUGAGGAGCGUCUCUGCCUGGCAGCCGCCUGGUCUGAGAAGUGAGGAGCCCCUCCACCCAGCAGCCACCCCGUCUGGGAAGUGAGGAGCGUCUCUGCCCGGCAGCCACCUCGUCUGGGAGGGAGGCGGGGGGGUCAGCCCCCCACCCGGCCAGCCGCCCCGUCCGGGAGGGAGGUGGGGGGAUCAGCCCCCCGCCCGGCCAGCCGCCCCGUCCGGGAGGAACCCUACAAGGUAGAUUCUAUUAGCAUAUGUAUUUUAUAGAUGAGGAAGCAGGCACAGAGACAUCAAGUGUCAUGCUUCAUUUUACAAAGCUGGAACAUGCUGGAGUCAGAACCCAACCAGGCAGUCUUGCUUCAGACUCUCCGCAUCUAUGACUCUGUAACCGUCAGUAGCUACUGCCUCCAUCUGCUUUCAUCACUGCAGAGGCAGACAACACCACCCUGCAAGAUAGUCGACUUUCAGACUUGAAGCCACAUCCAUUCUGCUAAAAUGCACAGAAAGAAAACCAGAAGAGAGACAGCAGCAAGAGCUGCAGGCGAGGCUGGGCAUGGAUUCCAGGGGAAGGAGAUGACAGUGGGAGGAAUGGCCAUCAUUCCAAAAGGGCUGGAUUGCACAGCAGGGCAGCAUCGCAAGAGUAGGAAGGGCUGUUCAACAAUGUGGCCUCCCCUGCAAGAGUCACACCUGUUAUUCAGCCUCUGCUUCAGCGUUCCAGAGAGGAGGCUCCCUGCUGCGGCAAAUCCCAAUGCUGGACAGCUCUGAGCAGAUGAUGGUUCUUCUUGGUGUUGGUUCUGAACCCUGCCCCUCUAUGUCCACCAGCCUUUCAUUCUAGAAGACACAACCGUCAACUCUGGGAAGACUCGGCAGGGGGCAUAUUUCUGAAAGUUCUAUUUCCACAGAUGGUGUGAAAUCAGCAAAGGAAAAUGCUGCUUCUGUCCAGACAGCUCUUCCACUCUUUAUUCUCACUCUAUGAGUCACUGGGUUGACUGUUGAUUUCGUUGCUGAACUGGGAUUCCUUAACUUGCGCAUUCAUUUAUUCAAUAAAUAUUUGUUUCAUGUUUACAAAAUAGUAAGUACUACACUCAACACUGGGCCUUCAGUGUGACAAGAGGCAUAGUCUCUGUCCUCAGGGACCUUGUGGCUUAAUGGGAUAUUAUAAAAAUAGUCACACAGUGAUUAUCACCGUGAUGAAAGUGCUGUGGGAGAAAAUACAGGGAGCUAUGUGAUUGUAGCAGACCAGCCUGGCCUGGGUGAUGAGGAAUGUCUCUUCUUGGGAAGUGACACAGAAGCUGGAGGACAGGAGCACGAGAGAUCAGUCCAAGUGGGCAGUGACGCUACAUCAUCAGAGCAAGGAGCACCCGCAAGUCCAGGAGGCAGGAGGGCCUCUGACCAGGUUGAGAAACAAAGAGGACACCAGCCUGGCUGUGGGUUUAGUGAGCAGCGCAGAUUGCAGAGGGCGAGGAGGUUGCAAUCACAGCAUCAGAGCAUGACCCGAAGAACAAAGGAGAGACAUUUAAAGAUUUAAAGCAGGCCAGUGACAUUACCAUGUUUUUAUUUUUAAAAGAUUACUCUGCUGGGUGUGGUGGCUCACACCUUUAAUUCUGGCACUUUGGGAGGCCAAGGCGAAAGGAUCACUUGAGCUAAGAGUUCAAGACCAGCCUGGGCAACAUGGAGAAAGCCCGUCUCUACCAAACAAAAUACAAAAAAAACGGUUAGCCAGGUAUGGUGAUCCACACCUGUAAUCCCAGCUAUUGGGGGAGGCUGAGGCAAGAAAACCACCUGAACCCGGGGGUGGAGGUUGCAGUGAGCCAAGAUCGUGCCACUUCACUCCAGCCUGGGCAACAGAGUGAGAUGCUGUCUUAAAAAAAAUAAAAAUAAAAUAAAUUACUCCGUCUGCUCUAUAGACAGUAGGUCAGGGGAAAGGAAGAGUGAAUGGGGAGAAACCAGGUAGGAAGUACCUUUAAACUCCAAAAGACAGACCGUGGCAAUUUGGACUAGAGUGGGAAAGUUGGGCAGCAGAUUUGGAAAGAAACUGACACAUUUUAAGUCUAUUUUAGGCAGAAUUAGAAGACUCUGUGAUUAUAUGGAAGGGAGUAUGAGAGGUGAUUCUUUGCAAGACAUAUUUAUGGAAAUGGAGAGCCAUAGCACUGGAGAAAGGUAGUGACUUCAGUGUGCCAUCCAGUACGUAAACGACUCACAGACAUCCAAAUGGAGACGUCAGGACUCUAAAUGGGGAAAAUGCUGAAGGCCAACGUCUGGAGCACAGUCACGCAUCACUUAAUGACAAGAAUAUAUUCUGAGAGAUGUAUCAUUAAGUGAUUCUGUUACUGUGUGAGCAUCAUAGAGUGUACUUGCCCAAGCCAAGAUGGUAUAAGCUGAUGCACACCUAGGCUGUGUGGUACAGCCUAUUGCUCCUAAGCUACACAUCUUUGCAGCACAUUACUGUACGGAAUACUGCAGGCAAUUGUAGCACAAUGGUAUUUGUGUAUCUAAACAUAGGUAAGGUACAGUAAAAAUAUGGUAUUACAAUCUUAUAGAACCAUCAUCAUAUACGGGGUCCAUCACUGACCAAAACGUUAUGUGACGCACAACUGUCAUUCUAAAUAGAAUCUUCUGGGCAUCCAUUAUCUAAUUCCUCAAAAGCAAACUGUCUUCUAUCAAGACUCUCAUAGCAAGUCUAGUUCUUUGCUCUUUUGUAACCAGGGAAAUGUGAUCAUCAAAACACAAACCAACAUUUUGUGAAGAAAGGAUCUUGAAU